GGCUCAGGAUGAACGCUGGCGGCGUGCCUAAUACAUGCAAGUCGAGCGAACGGACAGGAGUGCUUGCACUCCUUGAAGUUAGCGGCGGACGGGUGAGUAACACGUGGGUAACCUACCUAUAAGACUGGGAUAACUUCGGGAAACCGGAGCUAAUACCGGAUAAUAUAUACCUCCGCAUGGAGGAAUAGUCAAAGACGGUUCUGCUGUCACUUAUAGAUGGACCCGCGGUGUAUUAGCUAGUUGGUGAGGUAACGGCUCACCAAGGCAACGAUACAUAGCCGACCUGAGAGGGUGAUCGGCCACACUGGGACUGAGACACGGCCCAGACUCCUACGGGAGGCAGCAGUAGGGAAUCUUCCGCAAUGGACGAAAGUCUGACGGAGCAACGCCGCGUGAGUGAAGAAGGUUUUCGGAUCGUAAAACUCUGUUG
RNAcentral lists this ribosomal RNA (430 nucleotides) under Macrococcoides caseolyticum. Its description in RNAcentral is "bacterial SSU rRNA". It matches the Rfam family "Bacterial small subunit ribosomal RNA", at positions 21 to 438 of the family's 1533-position model. Lineage: Bacteria; Bacillati; Bacillota; Bacilli; Caryophanales; Staphylococcaceae. The record is from RNAcentral.